Oryzias latipes (Japanese medaka) is the source of this 1764-nucleotide non-coding RNA. Lineage: Eukaryota; Metazoa; Chordata; Actinopteri; Beloniformes; Adrianichthyidae. The record is from RefSeq and is a predicted model, not a curated record.
CAUUUUGAACAAACAGAAGCCUGGAGUAACCCGAUUUGAAUUUUAAACUGUAUCACAGCCUCACUUGACACAGAUUUCUGAUUGGCUGAUCACGGUGGGAGGGAAAACUCUGUGGUUGACGUCACCAACGGGCCGGAAUCUGCAAGCGGGAGAAGUGCAGAGAACGAGAGACUUUUGACGACCGUUUGUCGUAUUUUUUCUGCGUUUUAACAAUCCGUGUGAUGAAUCUCCAACAUUUUUUUUGCUUGUCUGGAAAAGAUUCAAGUAAAAUCUUUGAAGUUUGCACGGUGAUCUAAAUACAAGUGAAAAUGAGUGAAUCAGAACCCAUGUUCCUCCACACUGCCAUUAUGGAGGUCCUACCAGAGCCACAAAAGACAUCCUGGAAGAACACUUGCAGUCCAUUGGAAUAAAUGGAGUUGUAUGAGGAUCUACGAUUCAUAGAAGAGGCUGACUUGCUGCCAGCUUUGAGACCUGUUCAAGCCCGGAAACGUCUUGCUCUUUGGAAAUUGAAAUACCAAACGCCAGAGAACAGCACAUCAUCAUCUGUUGAGACCUCACCAACACAAUCAUCAUCACUUUUGUUAUAGUCACCGAGGAGUUCGUCAUCCACAUCUUCCAGAAGACGAGGACUGUACGUACAUUGACUGGGAGGACAGCUUUGAAAUUCCAUGGAGUAAGUUUUCUGAGGAAUUUGUGCAGUCUUUGGAAAGAGACCUGGCCCAAGACUAAGGAAGGAAAUGGUUUGCACUCUUGUUGCAGAAAUGAUGAAAGCAAGACGUUUUUCCAAACUCUAAAAGGCUGCAGAUGAUGCGGGGAGAGCAGAGUGGCUGCUCAGAAGAGAUGAGAUGUUAAAGAGAUGCUCUUUCUUCUGCUCUGCUACUUUGAGGAGGAUGCCAUGUUCUUGUAGAAGAUGCAGACGAGGUCCAGCUGCAGCAGGUGCCGUUGACUCCAACUGUUAUUGUAUGUGGACAGUCUUUCUUUUCCCCAAGGAGGUUCAUGCUCAUUUGGAACCGCUCCAUCGUACACAACAACAUUGCAGCACUGUGCCUGAUGUUCAGAAGCUACUUCUCCUUUAACCGUCAUUAUCCAACUGAGCUGGCUUCAACCCUGGAGUUUCUGCAAAGGUACAUAUUUAUGAGUGCUGUCAUGCGAUUCAUUUUUGGGUGUGGUUAGUUAAUCAUGACCUGCAGUUAAUUAUUCUUAUUAAUCUUGUAUUAAUCUAACUCAGGGCUGCUCAUCCCUGGUCCUUGAGAUCUACCAGCCUGCCUGAUUUCCAGCUGAUUAGCUGGACCAGCUGAUGCCUAAGAUGUGCCACUCUACCUGGUUGGGAACAAAUUGAAGAGGCCAAGCUCAAGAAAGGCUUUGUCAACAAAUGUAGGGCAGAGCAGGUUCUAAGGCCACUGCUAUGAUCUACAGUAUGCGGACUGGUUUCUCUUCCAUCUUUUUUCUUAUUUUUUAUCUUAAUUUGGUUCUCAAAUUGGUCCAUGGAUUUGGUAGGCUGCAAGUUUCGGAGAAUGUUUUUAUCAGGUACUUUUUUAUGUGGUUACAUAAUCUUGUUUUUUUCCUUGUACCUCAGCAGUGAUGUCAGUGUGUUUGUUGUUUAAAAUAUGGAAGUUUUCUUUACCAUCAUGUCAGCCACAUUUAGUACGCCACGGUUCAUGUACUUAAUGCAUUUAAUAUUUUAAAAAGUGUCUAAUACUGCUUCCACAAUUCAAAUGCUGUACUGAUGAUGGUGCUGCCCAAAUAAAGUGUAAAGCAUUUACA